UCUCGGAUAGCUUAACUGGGAGAGCCUUUGGCGUAACCAAACGAUCCGGGUUCGUGUCCCGGUCUGCUGUUCUGAA
Molecule: transfer RNA, 76 nt
Filed under: Cotesia glomerata
Lineage: Eukaryota; Metazoa; Arthropoda; Insecta; Hymenoptera; Braconidae
Description: tRNA-Tyr
Rfam family: tRNA (bases 4-66)
About the family: Transfer RNA (tRNA) molecules are approximately 80 nucleotides in length.
Source: RNAcentral